This 253-nucleotide ribosomal RNA is filed under the name uncultured bacterium. Its description in RNAcentral is "partial 16S ribosomal RNA". It matches the Rfam family "Bacterial small subunit ribosomal RNA", at positions 524 to 776 of the family's 1533-position model. The record is from RNAcentral.
UACGGAGGGUGCAAGCGUUAUCCGGAUUCAUUGGGUUUAAAGGGUGCGUAGGCGGUCUAUUAAGUCAGUGGUGAAAGCCGAUAGCUUAACUAUCGAAUUGCCAUUGAUACUGGUAGACUUGAGUACAGAUGCUGUGGGCGGAAUAUGACAUGUAGUGGUGAAAUACAUAGAGAUGUCAUAGAACACCGAUUGCGAAGGCAGCUCACAAAACUGUAACUGACGCUGAGGCGCGAAAGCGUGGGGAGCAAACAGG